Molecule: long non-coding RNA, 473 nt
Organism: Carassius gibelio (silver crucian carp)
Lineage: Eukaryota; Metazoa; Chordata; Actinopteri; Cypriniformes; Cyprinidae
Exons: 3
Source: RefSeq, a predicted model, not a curated record
CUUCACUUUUCAACCCUUUGAAACCGGUGAGACAUUGAUCAGUUUGAGUAACACAUUGUUGGAGUUGUGAAGUUAUCUUAUUAUGGCUUGUUUGGAAAGUGUUUUGAACAGCUUUGAUGUCCUGCUGAACCUCUGCUUGGAGUUGAUCAACCAUGAAUCGUAGUUCAGAAACCAAGCAAGAUCAGCAAUCUGGCUCUGGUGCUGAGAAGAGGUAUCUUUCACUUCCUGGGAGUUGGUAGAAUGUUGGGCAGUUCAUGUUGUGCCACUGAUGAAUGAGUUCCACCUUCAGAAGAGGUGCAAAGUUGCAUGUUAUCCCCUUGUGUUGCCCAGGUGAGAGUUUGUACUGGAGUGCUCCCAGCCAGAGCAGGAGAGGACAUGUGCACAUGGGUUCCAGGAUGAACAGGGCUGAGUGGAGUGGGGGUAUGGUAGAACACCGGAGCACAUGGAGGUGGUUCCAGAGGCAUCCCCGGUCG